AGCAGUCGCCGCGGGAAUACGAAGGGGGCUAGCGUUGCUCGGAAUGACUGGGCGUAAAGGGCGCGUAGGCGGCGAUCAAAGUCAGGCGUGAAAUUCCUGGGCUCAACCUGGGGGCUGCGUUUGAUACUUGAUUGCUAGAGUGGGGAAGAGGGUCGUGGAAUUCCCAGUGUAGAGGUGAAAUUCGUAGAUAUUGGAAAGAACACCGGUGGCGAAGGCGGCGACCUGGUCUUUAACUGACGCUGAGGCGCGAAAGCGUGGGGAGCAAACAGGAUUAGAUACCCGUGUAGUCCCUGUCUCUUAUAC
Molecule: ribosomal RNA, 303 nt
Filed under: uncultured bacterium
Lineage: Bacteria
Description: partial 16S ribosomal RNA
Rfam family: Bacterial small subunit ribosomal RNA
Source: RNAcentral